GCCCGAGUAGCUCAGUUGGCAGAGCAGCUGUCUUGUAAACAGCAGGUCGCAGGUUCGACUCCUGUCUCGGGCU
RNAcentral lists this transfer RNA (73 nucleotides) under bacterium. Its description in RNAcentral is "tRNA-Thr". It matches the Rfam family "tRNA". Rfam says of the family: Transfer RNA (tRNA) molecules are approximately 80 nucleotides in length. Their secondary structure includes four short double-helical elements and three loops (D, anti-codon, and T loops). RNAcentral also lists the same sequence under 3 other names. The record is from RNAcentral.